Molecule: transfer RNA, 101 nt
Filed under: Pseudoduganella rivuli
Lineage: Bacteria; Pseudomonadati; Pseudomonadota; Betaproteobacteria; Burkholderiales; Oxalobacteraceae
Description: tRNA-Ser
Source: RNAcentral
GGCGGUGAAUUGGGCGGUUAAUUCGUAAGUCAUUGAUUUAUAAUGGGUGUAAGCGGCCUGCAAAGCCGUCUAGACGGGUUCGACUCCCGUCCUCGCCUCCA